RNAcentral lists this ribosomal RNA (348 nucleotides) under Triticum aestivum (bread wheat). RNAcentral's name for it is "partial small subunit ribosomal RNA". Lineage: Eukaryota; Viridiplantae; Streptophyta; Magnoliopsida; Poales; Poaceae. The record is from RNAcentral.
UGUUCACAUUGCCAGCUACUGCACUUACCCGUUCUUUGGAUUAAUCAGUCUAUCUUGUGUUUGUUUUCACAUGUGAUAGAUAGAUUAAUUAGUUUUUUGUUGUUGCAGAACAGUUGGAUUAUUGUUAUAUUUGAUAUUGAUGUUGUCUCAUCUUUUUGGAGUCAGGUACAUCCAACAGAAAAUGACCCAAAUGAUCCAUCACAGUCAAAUCGGUUCAAUGUGGUUAUUGAGAUAAUCGAGCGCCUUUACAUGGGCAGGCAUAGUAGUCACGAAGAAGAUCUGGGUGAUGUGCCUGAUGAUAAUCAGUAUGCCACUGAAGAUUCUUUCAUUGAUGAUGCUGAAUUGGUU